This 310-nucleotide ribosomal RNA is filed under the name uncultured fungus. RNAcentral's name for it is "SSU rRNA". It matches the Rfam family "Eukaryotic small subunit ribosomal RNA", at positions 39 to 352 of the family's 1831-position model. The record is from RNAcentral. Lineage: Eukaryota; Fungi.
AAAGAUUAAGCCAUGCAUGUCUAAGUAUAAGCACUUUAUACUGUGAAACUGCGAAUGGCUCAUUAAAUCAGUUAUCGUUUAUUUGAUAGUACCUUACUACAUGGGUACCUGUGGUAAUUCUAGAGCUAAUACAUGCUGAAAACCUCGACUUCGGAAGGGGUGUAUUUAUUAGAUAAAAAACCAAUGCCCUUCGGGGCUCCUUGGUGAAUCAUAAUAACUUAACGAAUCGCAUGGCCUUGCGCCGGCGAUGGUUCAUUCAAAUUUCUGCCCUAUCAACUUUCGAUGGUAGGAUAGUGGCCUACCAUGGUGG